ACUCCCACUGGAAUAGAAGCUUUCUGAGAGGUUCUGAUCGCCCUUAAGAAGCUCUGUGUGGCUGGAGGAUCGAAAACUUUGGGCACAAGCUGGAAGGUCAUUUACUGCAAACCACUAUCUCCCAGCUAAUCUGGCUUCUGCUCCUGAUUUUCUCACU
Molecule: long non-coding RNA, 157 nt
Organism: Homo sapiens (human)
Lineage: Eukaryota; Metazoa; Chordata; Mammalia; Primates; Hominidae
Source: Ensembl